UCAUUGCAUUGGUGCAUAAAGUAAAGUGUUUUCUACUUGAACUUUAUUAUAGUGUAAUUAUCACAAAAUUUGUUGAAAAUUUGGUUGCACUAGGCACUGAACCAUCUUUCCAUGUUAACAAAUCGGUGAUAACACACACCUUUGCCAUGUUCACUUGAGACCUCUAUGUCUUGCUUUGCACCGUUAUUGGCCAUGUGCACUUUCCAUUCAUCGAUGUUCUUGAGAAUACUCCUAAUUCUCAUGAGAGACGGCACCACCCUGUUGACCCUGAUUUUGGCCAACUGACACGGAGUCAAAUUUGCUUGAUGUGGACAAACAUGUUGGAAAGAAUGUGAUGACGAAAUAAUAAAGAAGACAAGAGACUAUAGUGGUUCGGCCCCAGAAUCUGGUAAUAACCUACGUCCACUUGAAUUAUUAUUGAUAUAGGAUUCAAAGGAGUGAUCAAAGAACUAGGGUUCCAUGAGUUUCAACAACCUCUGAAGAAUAAUACAAUAUCUCAAAUAGGAUAACUCUAAUCUCUAGUGAUCCGAAAGCCAGAAAAAAGAAGAAGAUCCUUUUCCCUUGAGCCCUCCUUCUCUAUUUAUAGGCUCAAGGAGGAUUUACAUUAAUUUGUUACAGAUAUUAUUUCCUAAAUAGUCGGAUACUCAGGAAAUCAUGGGAGAUAAUUCCUGAUACUAUCAUAACUACAUAAGAUCUUUUCCGCGUGUAUCAUUCGUACGACCAGGCUGGUCGUAUGAAGAGAUUGAACGUCAUGACUCUAGAUGUCUUCCUGGUCGAUAGUCGAGCACGAAUUCUGCCAGAUGUUAGCCACGUGUACUAAAUGUUUGCCAUGUCAUCCAUGCUUGUUUUUGGAUAACAUUUGACCCCCAAGUUUGUUUAGUGCGACCAGCAAUAAAGAAACUUUAAGGAAGCAACCGUUCAUAUCCCCACGAUGUCUGUCAGAAUCCCCGUGCAUUUUUUAAAACCGUGACAUAAUUAUGUCUAAUCAAGGCCUUUCAGUUUUCAAGAAGCUAAUUGACGGCUUAUACACUUCCCCACAUUUCGAGAAUUAAAAAAUAAUGAUUGCUACUUUUUGGCCAUACCUCGGUCCCCAUAAAUACCUCCUUUUUCUUCUCAAAAAAGUUUUUCUUACCGUCUUUGUCAAGAACUUCAAGAACUUUGCCUUCAGAGCUUCGAAACCAGACAGUCGUCUAACUGAGGAUCUUUCCGACUCGAACUUUUUCUCUCUCCUCCGAACAUCCAUCUUCGCCCAGGUAAUCACUCUGUCUUUCUAAAUUUUUCAUUAUGCCAUGCACGCCGUUUCCAUGCUCUGUGAUUCCUGCGUUCUUGAGUAGGGUUUUAUGAGGAUCUUUUUGUAUAAACCUUCCAUUGCUUGGUAAGAGGGCGUCUUUAUUCGUUGUAUAGGUUAAGACUUAGUUUGAUAGUAAGGAUCAUAGGCUUAGGGCAUAAGAUCGACGUAAAAAUUCAACCUUUAAGCUAGGUGAAAAACUGGGUAUUUUCCUGCCCUUUAGGAGUCGAAACAGUUCUUUUUCAGAAAAUGGUUUUUUCCCUCUUUGAUUCGUUUUUCAAACCAUUGACGCCGAACUUAGCGUAGGAGUAGGAUGCUGCUGGUUAUUUACACAUGAGCAACAUUAUCCCAAUCUUCCACACUACUUCGCAAACUGUGUCUUAUCUCCUCCAUUGUCUGUUUACAGUUCUUAUGCAAUACCCUUGGGGGGGAGAAGGACCUAUUGAAGACGACCUCUUGGCCCAACUCCUUGAAGGCGAAGAAAACCCAUCUACUUUGAUACCAGAGAUCCCCUUUUCUCGCCCUAGCUCAAACCGUCCUCCAGUCCCCAACCAAAGAAUGGCCCGAACCAAAACAAAAGCUCGAAAAAGGAAUAACCCUAAAUCUUCAGGCCAGCCUUCUGCUGAUACCCCUCAACCAGUGGUCGAGGCGAAUUUGCCCUAGAGACCGAUGUACAAAGGCGUGCCUGCCCUCGCCAUGUCGACCAGCUAGACGUGGCGUGGCACGUCGUUCCUCAAAGUACGGUGACACUGCGGAUGAUUGCCAACUAUCUAAACAGAUACAAUCUGACGGGUGUGACCUUAGUCAAACCAUAUAUCGACCAGCGCGCCAACCUGCCAGGCGGGGCCUACAGCACCUGGUCGAGGUUCCAUAUUGAGGCAGGUGCCACCCUGCCUUUCCACUCGUUUUUUCAGGGGGUGGCUAAUUACUUCGGAGUAUCCCCCUUUCAAAUCACCCCGAAUGGAUAUAGAAUUGUUGACGGUGAGAACUCGUCAACUAAGUUGAGUUGGAAAAAAUUAUCAAGUAAGGAUCGUCAAUAAAAAAAAAAGCUAUAGAAAUCAAAGUAAUAACUCAAGAACAAUGACAGAAUAACAAUGGAGAAAUCAAUCAAUCUUUCAUUCACUCUCAAGCGUCUGCUACCGUCAAACUUCCAACCCCCCUUCAGGUGGGGUUAGAGUUCCUUUUAUAAUAGGCUCAAAUGGCCCUGGGUACAUGGUGGUCCUGGGGACCAAAGGGGUACAUAAGUACUCUGUCAAGAGAGUGGCUUCAGAUGUUGUGGUCGUACAUCCAGUACAGGGGCAGGUGUCAGGAGGAUGCCUCCACUACUUGUCCGUACCCAUGUCUGAUGAGUGGUGACAGGCAUAGUGGCGCAGGUGGUAGUGGUGUCGACUCUGACUCCUGGCCGUAGACGUAUGGACCAUCACUCUUAUCCCUGCAUUCCCACUCCUCCGUUGGUACAGGUGUCCGUAUUUGGACGUAGAAGGUCUUGAGGGUCGUACCCAGCAUGGGAACGUACAAGUAUGUUCCAUUCAACUCAUACCCAGGUCCCUAAGUGUUGGGGUCCAUAUGAUGGUGUGGCUCCUAUGCGGCUCGCGAGCCCCCUUCGCGAGGCCUCCUUUGCAUGGGCACCUGAUGGUGUGGCUCCCCAGGGUACACCCCCCGCACGGCAUGGAGUGUUCGGGGCGCGAGGCCGAAUGCAUGCCCCGACGUGAGGCCAUGGGGCCGUGCCUGCUUCGGACGCGACGCGAGGCCACAAGGCCAUGCCUUCUUGCUCCGGACGCGACGCGAGGCAACGGGGCCGUGCCUGCUCCGGAUGCGACGCGAGGCUGCGGGGCUGUGCCUGCUUCGGACGCGACGCGAGGCCACGGGGCGGUGCCUGCUUCGGACGCGACGCGAGGCCACGGGGUUCGUGCAUGCUUCGGACGCGUCGCGAGGCCGCGGGGCCGUGCCUGCGCGCAUGAGACGAGGGGCCUCGCCUGGUGCUGGUGCGUGCGAGGCCAUCUGGGUUGCCGCGCAAGUGGCAACAGUGGCUCAGGGUCAUUCCAACCCAGCCAUACUUUUGUGGCGUUUAUGGGGCCUAGCAUACAUGUUGAGUCUUUUAAGGGCGAGGAUUAUUAAGCGUUCACAAGAAUGCUGGCCGCACUCUAUAUCCUUUAUAAGCUCAAAAAAUGGCCAGUACCUUCCCCCCACGAGGUCAAUUUUCUUUUUGACCUUAAGUCCAAUCCCAACCAAGAUGGUACGGGGUUUUCUCACUUCUGCCAUCAGGAAUCCGGAUGCACUUUUUUGCCUGACACCACCCAUAUUUCUAAUGUGGGGAAGUAUCACCACGAAUAGUUCCUCACUCCUGACCUUGCUGCGGACAACUUGGCUUUUACGCGAGGAGGCCCAUGGCUACGUCCAACCCCUACUCCAGGGAUGGAGUCAAGGGUAACACUCUUAGCCAGCAUGCCAAAUGCUGAUAAGAGUGUAAAAAACCUAGUCAACGAGGCCAAACUUAGACUGGUCGGCCUUUGGGGAUCUCAAUCUGCGACGAACGAACCCUCGGUGGCGAUGUUCAAGCCGGCAUGGAACAUGAAUAGGAACCAGAGCAGCAACCUCAGGCGCCUCCUCGGAGGCGGCCAACUGGGGUUACGAUCAGGGAACCUGCCGUCCCCCCCCCCCCCCCGAGCGAAGGAACCUUCAGUCCCCAAGGGCAAGGGAAAACAAAAGGCUGUCGAUCUUACCGAACUUUUUGACGAUUCGUCGGAUGUAAACGGUACAAUAAUCUCGCUUUUAAAUAAUUUGCCAAUUCCCUCUCAUCUAUUUGAUGGGGACAACAACCUUAGGAAUGCUCCCUCUUUAAACUCAGAUUUCUUCCGGGAAUUAGGCAGUUCAGUAAAUAUUGCUACGACCAGUAGUUGUAGCUCGAGUACUUUUCUUGUAAUCCUUUUACUUUUAUCUCUGUUCCCCCUAUGACCACUUAAUCUCACUGCUCGAGUUAUUUCCCUUUGUGCAGGUAUGGACUCUGGAGACGUCUUCACUCAUUACGAGGCUGCCGCUGCCUCUUCUGUCCUGAAGAAGGAUAGCAAGAGGGCUCGAGGGGAAAGUAGCAAGACCCCCUUGAAGAAGGCUCGAACAGAAGAUACUCCAACCGCCGUCCCUUCUAAGGAAAACAUGACACCUUCGCCCCCCACCGAACAGUCGACGCCCACACCUGUGAAUCCACAGCCCUCCUCUAGGGCCGCUGACAAGGAGACUUUUGACAACCUAUCCGAAGGCUCCCUGUCCAGCCUCGUGGUCGGGUCGGCUAGGGAGAGGAUAUACAAGCUCUCGAAGCACAGACGCAGUCAGGCCGCCAUCAAUGAAACUGCCUCAAUGGAGGUCGACCAAAUCAUCAACAGAGGGUUGAAUGAGAUAGUCACCGGCUGCUGUCUUUAACUGCUAGCUGGCGCCGUGCUGGGGCGUUGGUUUCCCGGGGACAGAACUUCGACUCCCGACUUGCUCAGGCUAAGCAAGCACUUGAGGUUGAGAACAACAAGCUGCUCGAAGAGAACAAGGAGCUGUCCAAGCUGAAUGAGCAACUGUGCGAGGACCAAGCCACUCUUACCCAGGAGCUUCAGGACAGCCAAGGGGCCUUGAAGAAAGCCAACGAGGAGUGGCAUAAAUGGAGGGAAUGUUCUGUACUUAUCACCCAAGAGUGUAAACAGCUCAAACUCGAUCUGACCGCUACCAGUGAUGUGGGGAAGAAGCUUGAAGAGCGGGUGCGGGAGCUUAAGGGGUGAGUGCAGGAGGUUGAGGUGGAAGGGGUCAUGAACUUGAAGAUGUAUAAGGAGGCCACCCUCCUCUGCUUUUAUGACUUCUGGAAGCACAACCGGGCGGCCAACUUCAACUAUCUUUCCAAGCGGUUGAAGAGAACAUUGAUGGCGCAGUGCGCCACUCGGUUGGAGGCAGAGGAGAAGGCUAAGGCUAAGGCUCCUGCUGCCAAUGCUGAAGCUGGUCCUCCUGCCGACCAGGGCACUCCCCCAAAUCCUCAAGACCCUCCUGCCCAGUAAAUUUUUUUCUUUUAUUUUGCUUUUAUGGCCCACGGGUCUGUUUGUAAAGACAAUUUAUUUUUAUUACUGCAAGGGCAGCUUUUUUACUUAUAA
Molecule: RNA transcript, 5412 nt
Organism: Humulus lupulus (European hop)
Lineage: Eukaryota; Viridiplantae; Streptophyta; Magnoliopsida; Rosales; Cannabaceae
Exons: 3
Source: RefSeq, a predicted model, not a curated record